This 253-nucleotide ribosomal RNA is filed under the name uncultured bacterium. RNAcentral describes it as "partial 16S ribosomal RNA". It matches the Rfam family "Bacterial small subunit ribosomal RNA", at positions 524 to 776 of the family's 1533-position model. The record is from RNAcentral.
UACGUAGGUGGCAAGCGUUGUCCGGAUUUACUGGGCGUAAAGGGCGUGUAGGCGGUCUGUUAAGUGCAGGGUGAAAGCUCCCGGCUCAACUGGGAGAGGUCCUUGCAUACUGGCGGACUUGAGGGGGGUAGAGGAAAGUGGAAUUCCCGGUGUAGUGGUGAUAUGCGUAGAUAUCGGGAGGAACACCUGUGGCGAAGGCGGUUGCCUGGAGCUUUGCUGACGCUGAUGCGCGAAAGCGUGGGGAGCGAUCCGG